Molecule: ribosomal RNA, 467 nt
Filed under: uncultured bacterium
Lineage: Bacteria
Description: partial 16S ribosomal RNA
Rfam family: Bacterial small subunit ribosomal RNA
Source: RNAcentral
GACGAACGCUGGCGGCGUGCUUAACACAUGCCAGUCGAACGGAAAGGCCCUGCUUUUGUGGGGUGCUCGAGUGGCGAACGGGUGAGUAACACGUGAGUAACCUGCCCUUGACUUUGGGAUACUUCAGGAAACUGGGGCUAAUACCGGAUAGGAGCUCCUGCUGCAUGGUGGGGGUUGGAAAGUUUCGGCGGUUGGGGAUGGACUCGCGGCUUAUCAGCUUGUUGGUGGGGUAGUGGCUUACCAAGGCUUUGACGGGUAGCCGGCCUGAGAGGGUGGCCGGCCACAUUGGGACUGAGAUACGGCCCAGACUCCUACGGGAGGCAGCAGUGGGGAAUAUUGCACAAUGGGCGGAAGCCUGAUGCAGCAACGCCGCGUGCGGGAUGACGGCCUUCGGGUUGUAAACCGCUUUCGCCUGUGACGAAGCGUGAGUGACGGUAAUGGGUAAAGAAGCACCGGCUAACUACGUG